UAACCGAAAAAUGUAGGAAAAAAUGGAUUUUAAAUUUACGUUUACAGUCGGGAGGAGCAGAGUCUGCCAAUGCCCGUGUCUGCAGCGACCACUUCGUCAGAGGCUGCCCAAGUGCUUUGGAUGACGAAGAGUCGGAGGACUGGGCUCCGACGGUCAAUCUCGGCUACGAACGAAAACCCAGAUCGGAAUCAGUUCUCAAACGAGAGAAAAGAAUGAAGCUUAAGGCAGAACAGCAUCGAUGUGCAGAGGCGAUUUUGGAUAUGCAACAGACGGCUGAGAGCCCGGAUUUGAGCCUAGUGACAGUGGAGAACCCCGAACUGCAGCUUCCAGCUGAGAAUCCACAACCAGAAGACUUCAGUGUGAAUGAGACAUUCACUUAUCCAGUGUCCUCCAUGUUUACUUCCGCCCUCCACUCAAAAAUCGCGCUGCCUCCGCACGUCAUCAGAACCACGUGACCGCAACCCAACUAUUGA
Molecule: long non-coding RNA, 473 nt
Organism: Oreochromis niloticus (Nile tilapia)
Lineage: Eukaryota; Metazoa; Chordata; Actinopteri; Cichliformes; Cichlidae
Exons: 3
Source: RefSeq, a predicted model, not a curated record